GUAACGAUUUCAGGGGUGGCACAAUCGCACAAAUAUUGUUGCAGGUCUAGCAGUGAUGUAAAAACGUAGUCCCUCCGAUCCAUAGUAUCCACUGGGUGAAUUAUCCAACUACAGUUUUUAUGGUCUAAAGUUUUCAAGAUACUGAAUGCAUUUAACUUUCUACUGGUCGAGUUGUCAAAGGUUGAAUGUUUUUAAUGUUGGGCAUCCCAUGGCAGGAUAUGAAUGGAGAAUAUUCUCGCUAACCAGUUGUCACAGCCAGGGACGUGUUUCAAAGGGAUGGUGUGUAGUGAAUAAGAGUUUAGCACACUAAGGUGUGCUUAUCAGUUUGGGAUAAAAAACAACUAUGAUUGGAAAACAGUUGUCUGGUGGUUCCAUCGUGCUUGCAGUUUCUCGAUUGCCUCUUUAUCUUGAGAAACUGAAAUAUGAGGCUUGCACUCUCUACUUAGUCAUUAUUCUGUUCCAGGGUCUUGAUUCUGAUCUCAUGUAUGAGCUACCUGAAAUAUUAUUUGGUUGAUAUCAGCCUAUGCAGGUUAUCAAAUCAGAGAGUAUAUGUACCCAGGAGCAAAAACACCAUGUCCCUAAGCUUCAUAUUUUUGGUCCAUGAAACAACACAUUCUGGUUAUAUAUGAGUGUUGUUGCUCGGUUAUGUCGGUUUGGCUGUUGCGGCUGCUGACUUCCAGGGCAGGUUAGCUUUCUCCACCUCCGCACUAGGACACAUAUUGGUAAUGCGUGAUACAUCUGUAAAUUAGGAUAUCAAAUCGAUGCUCCUACUAUAAUCAUUUUCUUUGCCUUUGUGUUGUCACUUGGCCCUGUCAACUUCCAGAGUUUGAGCACGUCUAGGACUGGCUCUAACCCUGCCUUGAAUGACACUGGUUGAGGAGGUUGUCCGGUUUGUUUGUUUGAUUUUUUUAUGGCUUUGGAUGUGAUAUUUUUCUCGUUCCGACUAAUAUGAAUAUCUUCCCAUAGUUAUGCAUGCUUAUUAUUCUUUCCUCUUUCUACUCAUUCUGAUCCAGUCAAACUGUCUCUGGGGAUGAAGCUCCAUUUAAUUUUGCUGUUGUCAUGUCAUCAGGUGAGCCUACGUGCUUAUUCGCAUUAAAUUUGUAUAUAGCAGAUUUCGUUGUAUCCAAUACUGAAACUUAAGUAUAUUAUUCUACAAUGAAUCAGAAGUAUGUCUCACUCAUGUGAGGCUUAUACAUCAGGGAUAUUCCUAUACAAUUACAUUCAAGCCAGUACUAACUUUUGCUACUCUACAGCUCAAAAAAAAACUUCUGCUACUCUAGGCGUUUAUAAAUAUUGAUGACAGUGAUUCCUAUGCUCAGAUUAUCCAAUGAUUAUGUUUUAAGUUGUGUGAUGUGAUUGUUGUCGAUGCAAAGAUCAAACAAAUGCUCAUGCCGGCCAAAAAUAAGGGAAGAUUAUCCUCCAUGUCUGAGAGGUAAAAGAUGGGUCUGCAUUGAUCUGUUUGUAUCAUUAUCCUAAUUUAAUAUUGUCAAAUUCAGUUAUUUCACAUUGCGGUGAUCGGCUUGAACAUACUAUUAUUUUAAUCAGCUGAUGGGUCAGACUGUAUAAUGAAAUAUGAUUUCACUGGAAGCAUCUAUGAUAUGUUUGCUGAUGCUGGUCAUUUUCAAGCUGCGACCAUGUGUUGUUAUAAUAUGUUAAGAGUCGCGGCGAAAUUUUGUAAGCUUGUGCAAUUUUCUUAGUAAUCAGUAUGGUUCAGAGGCAUUGUCAUAUAGGUUUUAUUUCAUUUUCGUUGUCAAUUUUCUUAGUAAUCAGUAUGAUCUCACUAGAAGGCAAUUUUAGUAAACUUUCAUUGUCUUCUUUUUGUUCCGUGCUCCUAGCAAAUGGCCUCCAAU
Molecule: long non-coding RNA, 1850 nt
Organism: Lolium rigidum
Lineage: Eukaryota; Viridiplantae; Streptophyta; Magnoliopsida; Poales; Poaceae
Exons: 4
Source: RefSeq, a predicted model, not a curated record